AUGUGGAUGUCGCUAAAUGAAUCCCGCCCAGACGGCCGAUCGGCCUUAAACAGAAACAGACCGGCCCGGUCUGUUCUGGAUGCCAUUAGGGGCUCAGAGUGGGCAGAGUCUGAGGUCACCCAGCACCAUAUGGAGGUGGAAGAGCAUGAAGAACGUUGGACUGGUGACUGCUAUCACGUUGUGAAUUUCUCCAGAGCUUUAAUUCUUUCCAAGAACUCUCAUUUUAAUCCUCACGGGCUCAACCCCGUUGUCUUUUCACCCCCAUCUAGACUGAUCCCGGAGACCGCGGCCCAGAAUUCUUCCCGUUCUUCUCGGCUCCGCCGUCCCGUGUUCGAAGAGACGAUCUUUCCCGUCCCAGAGGUUAAUGGGGUGCGUCAAUCUGAGCCUCGCCACGGAGCACCGCGAACCCAAAAAUAAAUCUGACAAGACGGAUGCGGGCCCCCAUCCCUCCCCGUCUCCGAACCACUCGGGCCCUCUGGCUUCUCUCCCGAAACUCCAGAAUUGAUGGUGUCGGGAUCUGCAGACUGAGGGAGCCGGGUUUCCAGCUCUGAUCUGAUUCAGCAGAAACGGCUUCGUGGCCCAGGGCCACGAGCCCUCGGCCCUCCUUCCACCGCUUGCCUCCCGGGACCCCCCCGCGCCUGAUGCGGUCAAAAGAAAGUUAAUAAUAAUUAAUAACGGUGGUAUUUCUCAAGCGCUUAUUAUGUGGCGGGCAACGAACUAAACGCUGGGGCGGAUAACAAGAUAAUCGGGUUGGACACGGUCCCUGUCCCACAUGGAGCUGACGGUCUUAAUCCCCAUUUUGCAGGUGAGGUCACCGAGGCACAGAAAAUAACAAUAAUAGCCGGGGCAUUUGUUAAGCGCUUACCACGGGCCGAGCACUACACCGAGUGCUGUGGUGGAUGCAAGCAAAUGUGGUCGGACACGGUCCCCCGUCCCACAUGGGGCUCAGAACCAGCGUGGCCCAGUGGAAAGAGCCCGGGCUUGGGAGCCUGAGGUCACGGGUUCGAAUCCUGGCUCCGCCACUCGUCAGCUGCGAGACUUUGGGCGAGUCACUUCACUUCUCUGGGCCUCAGUGACCUCAUCUGGAAAACGGGGGUUAAGACUGUGAGCCCCAUGUGGGACAAACUGAUUGCCUUGUCACCUCUUUCCCCCCCCCAGUGCUCUGCACAUAGUAAGUGCUUAACAAAUGCCAUUAUUAUUAUUAGCAUUAUUUCCCAUCUAGCACUGUGGAUGCUAAAUAAGGAAUGGUAAUUACGGUAAGGGCUUAAGGGCUAACUAUGGGCCGGGCGCUGCGCUGAGCGCCGGGGCGGACGCAGGCACAUCGGGUUGGACACAGUCCCCGUCCCACGUGGGGCUCCCGGUCUCGAUCCCCGUUUUACGGAUGAGGGAACUGAGGCUCAGAGAAGGGAAGUGACAGGCCCCAGGCCUCGCAGCAGACGAGGGGCGGAACGGGGAUUAGAACCCACGACCUUCUGACUCCCAGUUCCGUGCUCUACCGGCUAGGGCAGCGUGGCUCAGUGGACCGAGCCCGGGCUUGGGAGUCAGAGGUCAUGGGUUCGAAUCCCGGCUCCGCCACCCGUCAGCUGUGUGACUGUGGGCGAGUCACUUCACUUCCCUGUGCCUCGGCGACCUCAUUUGUAAAAUGGGGAUUAACUGUGAGCCUCACCUAGGUCAAGCCGAUGACCCUGCAUCUCCCCCGGCGCUCAGAACGGCGCUCUGCACCUAGUAAGCGCUUGACAAAUACCAAUAUUAUUAAUAAGUACUACUGAUUUAGUAGCGGGGGUCAGAGGGCUGAGUUUAGCCGAAUGGGGAGGGCGUCAGAGGGCCGGCCGGGAAGCUCCACCCUGCGGGAUCGGGAUCGGGGGACGAUUCUGCCCCGAUCGAUCCUCCCCGCUCUCCGGAGUUGGAACGAGCUCAGCGGUAUUGGCUCAAACGGCCCCCGGAGCUGGAUUCUCUGAGCCCUGGAGACAUAACAGAGGUCUUUAAGAUGAGCUACGUUGCCUUCAGAGGACUUGCCAGAUCAUACUCUCCUCUGGAAGGAGACGAGUGAAUUAAAGCUGUCUGUCUCUCAGUCUCCCCCCGGGACCACAGAAGAUGCCCCUCCGCGGCUCGGUGAAAAGAAUACGGCAUUUUCAGUCCGGAGGCCGGGGCUUUUCCUGUGGCAUUCGUCGAGCGCUUACUCCGUGUCGAGCCCUGCCGAAGAUACACGUUAAUCGGGCCAAAUACAGUCCCUGUCCCACGUGGGGCUCGCGAUCUAAGUAGGGGGGGAUCGAAUCCCCGUUUGGCAGUUGAGGAAACUGAGGCGCGGAGACUCAGUUGACUCGCUCGAGGUCCCACAGCAGGCAAGUGACGGAGACGGGAUUAGAACUCGGGUCUACCGGCUCUUAGGUUCAUACGUUACCCACUGGGCCACGCUGGUUCUAAUCCCAGCGAAGCCCCUCGUCUGCCGAGCGACUUGGGGCAAGUCGCUUAUUUUCUCCGUGGUUCGGUUUCCUCCUCCGUAAGGCGGGGAUAAAAUAUGUCUCUCGAUCAAUCAGCUGAAGCUGGGACAGAGAAAAUGGGCAGGCUGGGUUGGGGGGAGGGGGGGGUGUGCCUUUCUGGUCAAGGGGAAGGGGGGGGUCUCUCCUAAGAACGGGGAUGGAGGUCCCGAAGCAGUGACCGCCGCCCCCCCCCCCGCCAUGGUGGAAGCGUUUUUUUCUUUAAUGGCAUUGGUUAAGCGCUUACUAUGCGCCAGGCACUGUACUAAGCGCUGGGGUAGAUACAGAUCUGUCAGGUUGGACACCGUCCACGUCCCACAGGGAGAUCACAGUCUUCAUCCCCACUGUACGGUUGGGAGGACCAAGGUCACGCCACAGACGAGUGGCGGAGCUGGGAUUAGAACUCGGGUCCCUCUAGAGUCCCGGCCCCAGUUUUGGAGGAAACAAAGAUCUGCAUUUAAAUGCUUGAGAUGGUGGAACCUGCUAAGCACUUACUGUGUGCAAAGCAGUGUGUUCUAAGCGCUGGGGGGGAUCAGGUCGUCCCACAGUUUUAAUCCCCAUUUUCCAGAUGAGGGAACCGAGGCCCAGAGAAGCGAAGUGACUCGCCCAAAGUCACACAGCUGACGAGUGGUGGAGUCGGGAUUAGAACCCACGACCUCUGACUCCCAAACCCGGGCUCUUUCCACUAAGCCAAGUGCUUCGGGGAGCGGUCCCGGCACCAAGGGCUCCGAGGAGCAAAAGCGCUCAGCUGACAGGUUUGAGAUUCGAUGAACGCUUACUGGGUGUCAAGCACUGUUCUAAGCGCUGGGGCGGGCCCGGGAUAAUCAGGUCGGACACAGUCCCCGUCCCACCCGGGGCUCCCAGUCUUCAUCCCCAUUUUCCACACGAGGUAAAUGAGGCCCAGAGAAGUGAACAACUUGCCUCAGAUACCAGUGGCGGAGGCGGGAUCAGAACCCAGGCCCUUCUGGCUCUAUCCACGAGGCCGUGAUAAAUCUCACCGGGUUUAAACGUGCACGUCCACCGAGUCCCAGAUCCGUUUCCGGACCCCGAGUUUUUCUUUCCCGUGGUCCCGAGGCGGAACGCCGGGGAAGGGGAUCCUUCGGAGACAGACGGUGGAACGAUACUCCGGGUUCUCUGAUCCGUACGGCGUGGGUUUUUAGGCCGCCACGAGGGAGAGGGAGCCGGCCCUCCCGAGACUCUCUGUCGGUCGUCCAAAUCCCGGCAAAUGCAAGUUAAGCAAUUUUUCUACCUUAUCUCUGCAGUACCACGCCGGUCAUUUCGAGAAAAGCCACUCUACAAACAGUGAGUAAAUCGCACACUGUAAAAAUAAAUUAUAGCGUCUCGGGAAUUAGCACAUGAGAAAAGGCCAGGCGUGCCAUCCCCGGGCCCUUCUAAACCCGGGAUUCUGUCCCCGGUGAUUGGAAUGGGACCCGUAAGCCCAUCACUGGGCGGGGAUCGUCUCCGUCUGUUGUUGAAGUGUCCAUUCCAAGCGCUUAGUACAGUGCUCUGCACAUAGCAAGCGCUCGAUGAAUACUAUUGAGCGAAUGAAUACGUGGAGGAGUUUUGAAGAAUAAUAAUGAUGACGCUGGUAUCUUUUCAGCGCUGGGGUAGAUACCGGAUAAUCAGGUUGUCCCACGGGAGGCUCACAGUGAAUCCCCAUCUUACAGAUGAGGUCACUGAGGCACAGAGAAGUGAAGCGACUCGCCCGCGGUCACACGGCUGACAGGUGGCUCCGCCGGGAUUCGAACCCACGACCCGUGACUCCCAAGCCCAGGCUCUUUCCACCGAGCCACGCCGCCGGUGGGUCUCUGAACAACCAAACCCGUGGACGGAAGUGGCCCUCCGCAGCACCCCUUACCCGCGAACCCUGUCGAUGGAUCGACGUAAGCUCGUCGCCCGGCUUCUCUGGGCCUCGGUUUGCUCAUCUGUAAAAUGGGGAUCGGGUCUGUGAUUAGAGGCAACCCGAUCAGCUCGCCUCUACCCCGGCGCUUAGAACAGUCCCUGAAA
This 4484-nucleotide long non-coding RNA is filed under the name Ornithorhynchus anatinus (platypus). RNAcentral describes it as "lncRNA (ENSOANG00000050056.1)". The record is from RNAcentral. Lineage: Eukaryota; Metazoa; Chordata; Mammalia; Monotremata; Ornithorhynchidae.